RNAcentral lists this ribosomal RNA (67 nucleotides) under Phyllodistomum duplicatum. Its description in RNAcentral is "Cercaria duplicata partial 28S ribosomal RNA". It matches the Rfam family "Eukaryotic large subunit ribosomal RNA", at positions 1 to 67 of the family's 3401-position model. The record is from RNAcentral. Lineage: Eukaryota; Metazoa; Platyhelminthes; Trematoda; Plagiorchiida; Gorgoderidae.
CGACCUCGGAUCAGGCGUGAUUACCCGCUGAACUUAAGCAUAUCACUAAGCGGAGGAAAAGAAACCU